This 467-nucleotide ribosomal RNA is filed under the name uncultured bacterium. Its description in RNAcentral is "partial 16S ribosomal RNA". It matches the Rfam family "Bacterial small subunit ribosomal RNA", at positions 28 to 506 of the family's 1533-position model. The record is from RNAcentral.
GACGAACGCUGGCGGCGUGCUUAACACAUGCAAGUCGAACGGAAAGGCCCUGCUUUUGUGGGGUGCUCGAGUGGCGAACGGGUGAGUAACACGUGAGUAACCUGCCCUUGACUUUGGGAUAACUUCAGGAAACUGGGGCUAAUACCGGAUAGGAGCUCCUGCUGCAUGGUGGGGGUUGGAAAGUUUCGGCGGUUGGGGAUGGACUCGCGGCUUAUCAGCUUGUUGGUGGGGUAGUGGCUUACCAAGGCUUUGACGGGUAGCCGGCCUGAGAGGGUGACCGGCCACAUGGGGACUGAGAUACGGCCCAGACUCCUACGGGAGGCAGCGGUGGGGAAUAUUGCACAAUGGGCGGAAGCCUGAUGCAGCAACGCCGCGUGCGGGAUGACGGCCUUCGGGUUGUAAACCGCUUUCGCCUGUGACGAAGCGGGAGGGACGGGAAUGGGGAAAGAAGCACCGGCUAACUACGG